This 484-nucleotide ribosomal RNA is filed under the name uncultured bacterium. RNAcentral's name for it is "partial 16S ribosomal RNA". It matches the Rfam family "Bacterial small subunit ribosomal RNA", at positions 30 to 507 of the family's 1533-position model. The record is from RNAcentral.
AUUGAACGCUGGCGGCAGGCCUAACACAUGCAAGUCGAGCGGAUGAAGGGAGCUUGCUCCUGGAUUCAGCGGCGGACGGGUGAGUAAUGCCUAGGAAUCUGCCUGGUAGUGGGGGAUAACGUCCGGAAACGGGCGCUAAUACCGCAUACGUCCUGAGGGAGAAAGUGGGGGAUCUUCGGACCUCACGCUAUCAGAUGACCCUAGGCCGGAUUAGCUAGUUGGUGGGGUAAAGGCCUACCAAGGCGACGAUCCGUAACUGGUCUGAGAGGAUGAUCAGUCACACUGGAACUGAGACACGGUCCAGACUCCUACAGGAGGCAGCAGUGGGGAAUAUUGGACAAUGGGCGGAAGCCUGAUCCAGCCAUGCCGCGUGUGUGAAGAAGGUCUUCGGAUUGUAAAGCGCUUUAAGUUGGGAGGAAGGGCAGUAAGUUAAUACCUUGCUGUUUUGACGUUACCAACAGAAUAAGCACCGGCUAACUUCGUG